This 356-nucleotide ribosomal RNA is filed under the name Yersinia pestis biovar Orientalis str. India 195. Its description in RNAcentral is "bacterial SSU rRNA". It matches the Rfam family "Bacterial small subunit ribosomal RNA", at positions 1129 to 1484 of the family's 1533-position model. The record is from RNAcentral. Lineage: Bacteria; Pseudomonadati; Pseudomonadota; Gammaproteobacteria; Enterobacterales; Yersiniaceae.
UGGUGGGAACUCAAGGGAGACUGCCGGUGACAAACCGGAGGAAGGUGGGGAUGACGUCAAGUCAUCAUGGCCCUUACGAGUAGGGCUACACACGUGCUACAAUGGCAGAUACAAAGUGAAGCGAACUCGCGAGAGCCAGCGGACCACAUAAAGUCUGUCGUAGUCCGGAUUGGAGUCUGCAACUCGACUCCAUGAAGUCGGAAUCGCUAGUAAUCGUAGAUCAGAAUGCUACGGUGAAUACGUUCCCGGGCCUUGUACACACCGCCCGUCACACCAUGGGAGUGGGUUGCAAAAGAAGUAGGUAGCUUAACCUUCGGGAGGGCGCUUACCACUUUGUGAUUCAUGACUGGGGUGAA